RNAcentral lists this ribosomal RNA (495 nucleotides) under uncultured bacterium. RNAcentral's name for it is "partial 16S ribosomal RNA". It matches the Rfam family "Bacterial small subunit ribosomal RNA", at positions 28 to 507 of the family's 1533-position model. The record is from RNAcentral.
GAUGAACGCUGGCGGCGUGCCUAAUACAUGCAAGUAGAACGCUGAAGUAGGUGCUUGCUCUUCUGGAUGAGUUGCGAACGGGUGAUUAACGCGUAGGUAACCUUCCUGGUAGCGGGGGAUAACUAUUGGAAACGCUAGCUACUACCGCAUGACAACAGUUAUUGCAUUAUAACUGUUUAAAAGGGGCAACUGCUCCACUACCAUAUGGAUCUGCGUUGUAUUAGCUAGUUGGUGAGGUAACGGGUCACCAAGGCGACGAUACAUAGCCGACCUGAGAGGGUGGAGGGCCAGACUGUGAGUGAGAAAGGGCCCAGACACCGAGGGGGAGAAGCAGUAGGGAAUCUUAGGCAAUGGAGGGAAGUCUGACCGAGCAACGCCGCGGGAGUGAAGAAGGGUCUAGGAUCGGAAAGCUCUGUUGUAAGAGAAGAACGAGAGUGAGAGUGGAAAGUUCACACUGUGACGGUAUCUUAACAGAAAGGGACGGCUAACUACGUG